AUUGAACGCUGGCGGCAUGCCUUACACAUGCAAGUCGAACGGCAGCACGGGAGCAAUCCUAGUGGCGAGUGGCGAACGGGUGAGUAAUAUAUCGGAACGUGCCCAGUCGUGGGGAUAACGUAGCGAAAGCUACGCUAAUACCGCAUACGAUCUAUGGAUGAAAGCGGGGGAUCGCAAGACCUCGCGCGAUUGGAGCGGCCGAUAUCAGAUUAGGUAGUUUGGUGAGGUAAAGGCUCACCAAGCCGACGAUCUGUAGCUGGUCUGAGAGGACGACCAGCCACACUGGGACUGAGACACGGCCCAGACUCCUACGGGAGGCAGCAGUGGGGAAUUUUGGACAAUGGCGCAAGCCUGAUCCAGCAAUGCCGCGUGCAGGAUGAAGGCCU
Molecule: ribosomal RNA, 386 nt
Filed under: uncultured bacterium
Lineage: Bacteria
Description: bacterial SSU rRNA
Rfam family: Bacterial small subunit ribosomal RNA
Source: RNAcentral